CGCCCCGCCGUCCUUUCUCCCAGCGCCGCGCGCCUGGUGACUUGUGUGGUGGGGCCUCCCCGGCUGCCGUCCGCGCCGUCCUCCACUCCCCCACGCCUCGCUCUUGGCUUCGUCGCCAUCGGCCCCGCACUCACCUGCGCUGCUCCCGAGGCUGCAGGAUGCGAAGUGCGGACUGGAGCAGCCGGCCUCCCCGCCUGCUGGGCCGCGGGCCUUCGGGCACGGAGGCCGCCUGCGCAGGGAGAGGGGCUGAGGCCCGUGAGUCCGCGGCUCUGCGCUCCGGUUGACGGCGGUGCCAGAUGAAGAUUGCAGGAUGGUUCGAGUUGAUUCUGCUGGGUGAGCACUCUGGAGUCAUGCCAGUGAGGGCACCGCAGGACCUGGUUGCCUCCAUGUUUCCUGGCAGUGUCUGAUAAUGAUGUAGCUGAGAUACCGGCUUGUUGCUGCCCUGUUUUAGAAUAAGAUCUUUUACCAGUAAACUGUCUUCAUUUGUAAUUCAGGAUCUACAGAAUUGGGAGAGCUCUACAGCAAGAGGCAAGCUAAAAGACAAGUUUGUGAAGGAGAUGGACUGUUCUACUUAAGUAACGAAAAUCUCAGCUUCUCCACGCUCCAAGGCCUGCUGGUUCUUGAACUAGGCCUUUGCCCACCCCUCAUUGUGGGGCUGGUUCCUUAUCCAUCCUGCCCUGCAGAAUGAAUUGUCUUGUGUGCUACAUUCCCUUAAUAAAUUCUUGAUGUAA
Molecule: long non-coding RNA, 731 nt
Organism: Myotis lucifugus (little brown bat)
Lineage: Eukaryota; Metazoa; Chordata; Mammalia; Chiroptera; Vespertilionidae
Exons: 5
Source: RefSeq, a predicted model, not a curated record